AGAGUUUGAUCCUGGCUCAGAGCGAACGCUGGCGGCAUGCUUAACACAUGCAAGUCUCACGGGCAGCAAUGUCAGUGGCGGACGGGUGAGUAACGCGUAGGAAUCUGUCCUUAGGUGGGGGAUAACUGUGGGAAACUACAGCUAAUACCGCAUGAAACCUGUGGGUCAAAGGCGCAAGUCGCCUGAGGAGGAGCCUGCGUACGAUUAGCUAGUUGGUGGGGUAAGAGCCUACCAAGGCUACGAUCGUUAGCUGGCCUGAGAGGAUGAUCAGCCACAUUGGGACUGAGACACGGCCCAAACUCCUACGGGAGGCAGCAGUGGGGAAUAUUGGACAAUGGGCGAAAGCCUGAUCCAGCAAUGCCGCGUGUGUGAAGAAGGUCUUCGGAUUGUAAAGCACUUUCGACGGGGACGAUGAUGACGGUACCCGUAGAAGAAGCCCCGGCUAACUUCGUGCCAGCAGCCGCGGUAAUACGAAGGGGGCUAGCGUUGCUCGGAAUGACUGGGCGUAAAGGGCGCGUAGGCGGAUUGUACAGUCAGAUGUGAAAUUCCCGGGCUUAACCUGGGGGCUGCAUUUGAUACGUAUGGUCUUGAGUGAGGAAGAGGGUUGUGGAAUUCCCAGUGUAGAGGUGAAAUUCGUAGAUAUUGGGAAGAACACCGGUGGCGAAGGCGGCAACCUGGUCCUUUACUGACGCUGAGGCGCGAAAGCGUGGGGAGCAAACAGGAUUAGAUACCCUAGUAGUCC
RNAcentral lists this ribosomal RNA (742 nucleotides) under uncultured bacterium. RNAcentral describes it as "bacterial SSU rRNA". It matches the Rfam family "Bacterial small subunit ribosomal RNA", at positions 8 to 796 of the family's 1533-position model. The record is from RNAcentral.